Molecule: non-coding RNA, 77 nt
Filed under: Arthrobacter sp.
Lineage: Bacteria; Bacillati; Actinomycetota; Actinomycetes; Micrococcales; Micrococcaceae
Description: Fluoride sequence
Rfam family: Fluoride riboswitch aptamer (crcB RNA motif)
Source: RNAcentral
GUCGAAUCCGGCGAUGGAUCCCGCCGGGACCCACUUGGGUCCGAACCGCCGCAGUGGCUGAUGGUUCCUGCCUUCGA